RNAcentral lists this ribosomal RNA (253 nucleotides) under uncultured bacterium. RNAcentral describes it as "partial 16S ribosomal RNA". It matches the Rfam family "Bacterial small subunit ribosomal RNA", at positions 524 to 776 of the family's 1533-position model. The record is from RNAcentral.
UACGUAGGGUGCGAGCGUUAAUCGGAAUUACUGGGCGUAAAGUGUGCGCAGGCUGCCGAGCAAGUCGAGUGUGAAAGCCCCGGGCUUAACCUGGGAACUGCGCUCGAAACUACUUGGCUGGAGUGUGGCAGAGGGAGGUGGAAUUCCACGUGUAGCGGUGAAAUGCGUAGAGAUGUGGAGGAACACCGAUGGCGAAGGCAGCCUCCUGGGCCAACACUGACGCUCAUGCACGAAAGCGUGGGGAGCAAACAGG